CCUUUGGGACACAAAAUAAUUAACAAUUUGGAUUUCAGGUGCUAAUGAUUAACAGUGUGUAGAACUUGUUCCAAUUAAAACCUAGGAGUACUUAGCAACUAUGACAAAACAUCAUGAGAAACAAAUUAAUGUGAAUUUUAGUUUGUUUUUAUUUUGUCAUUUAUCUUUAUAGAUGUGAUAUUCUCAGUGGAAUUAUAACAUCACGCUCUCUUCCAUGUAGAUAUUUUCACUCAGUAUGCAACGAGUUCUCACUGCUUUAAAACACAUCCAUAUAAUUAGGAGAAGCCUACUAUAUGUAUAAUGUUAGAAACUUCUUCCUCUAUCUGAUGUGUGAUAUAUCACAAUUUUAUCCCAUGGGAUUGUAAGGUAAGAUAAAGAGAUGUCCCUUGUCGGGUCAGACAAUUAAACUCUCACACCAGAUUCAGGAAUUGACUUUGAAUACGAUUGUAAUGACAUGCUUCUUUCAUAGAGAUAUUGAUAUCACAUAAAUAAUUGAGAGCAUCACCCCUGACCCACCUCCUCUCUGGGCCUUUAUUUCAGCUUGUUUCUUAGCUGAUAGAAGGGGACAAGGAAUGGUAAAGUUUUCUGCAUCUCUUUCACAUGGCAGGCUUUUCAGGUAUCAAAAGUGAAUUUGUAAAGAAACUCGACAAAACUAUUCCUAGCAGUUUCUUUCCUUUUCCUUUUUGUUCAUUUUCGUUUAUACAUUUCCAUAGUAUGAAGUCAAAACUUACUUGCAAGUUCUGAAAGUUCUGCUGACCUCCGCCAAUCCUCCUUCCUUAGCUGACAUGGCGUCCAGCUCUGCCCAGCUUCCUUUUAUCACCUCAUAGCAAUUCAAGCUUGCUUCCUGCUCAAAUCCAUUGAAAAUUCUUUCAUAAAAGAAAAGAUCAUACCCCAAAAAACAAUUUCAAGAAGUGGGGGAAGAGAACAGAA
Molecule: long non-coding RNA, 930 nt
Filed under: Vitis vinifera (wine grape)
Lineage: Eukaryota; Viridiplantae; Streptophyta; Magnoliopsida; Vitales; Vitaceae
Description: long non-coding RNA (VVIN_LNC007984)
Source: RNAcentral